CAGCGCAGCUCUAGCUUAGAAAACUUUGUCGCGAAAAGAAAUUGAAAACCCAAACCGAGCUACGUCUACAUUGAAAUUAUGGCACUGCUGUGGGGAGCAGCUGCAGCAGCAGUCGGAGGGCUGCUCGUAGCCAACAUGGACUUCUGGUUGCCUAGGGGUGGAGCAGCGACCACGGAGGCCUACCUAGCAGGAGCCGUUCUCCAGCUCCUGGGGGAGACGAAGCUCCAGGCUCAGCUUAGCUUAGUGGACGAGGCGGUGAGGACAUUCAAGGCCCAAGGAUCUGUGGAAGGAUACAGGAGCUGUGGUCCUGGCUGUGCGCAGGCCUGGAUGAUCUUUGUGCAGAGAGGAAGCUAAAGAGCUGUCCUCUCUGAAGCCGGAGCUGGAUGCCCUUGGUAUCCCGCUCUACGCUGUACUCCUAGAACCGGGAGGCUACAAAGAGUUCUUGCCUUUCUUCUCCGGUGAAGUCUUCCUUGAUACAGAGAUGAGGUUUUACGGAGAGGAGAAGCGAAACAUGAGCCUUGUGGGUCUUCUUCGUAUCUCAACCCUGCUCCAAGUCAGAGAAAACAAGAAACAGGGUAUUCAAGGGAACUAUAUAGGUAAUGGUCUCACACUAGGUGGCAUCUUUGUUAUUGGACCUGGUGAUCAGGGAGUACUCCUGGAGUAUCGCAAUAAGGACUUUAGCGAUCACGCAUCAAAUGAGAAAGUGCUGGAGGCAGUUAAGAACAUUGCCCCUUCUGCCCCUAUUACCGCUAAAGUAUCACCAAAGUUGUAACCCCUCCAAACUUAUGACCCUUUUUAUAACUCCUGGGGAGUGUUUCACAAAGACUAAGAUCAACUUUAAUUUGGACUUGAACUAUGGCAGGCGAUUUAUGCCCUUAAAAAUUCUUGAACCAGUUGUAAAAUUAGAGGGAAAAAAUCUUAGAAAUUUUGAUCUUUAGAUACUGUUUUUUUCUGUGAAUAAUAAACUACCGGGUAUCCAAAAAUGUGAAUUCUGUAGAUUUGUGAAGUCCCUUGAGAGACCAAUAGUGAGUGCAACCAGUGGCAUGAAUUGCCUGUCAUAGUUAAGUCCAACUGAAAGUCGAUCUUUAAUAGUCUUUGUGUAACACCCCCCUGCUGCCACUAACGAAUCACCAAAGUUGUAAACCUUCCAACCUUAGUAAUGAUAACAGUUUUGAUUAUCUAGGAGCACUAAAAACAAAAUGUAUCAUGGCACUUACAAAAUCGUAGAAUGUGAAGAGAAAUAUAUGAAAGUAAUAAAAUAGGUAUAGAUCAUUUAUAUUUCUGAGGGAAGAGAUAUACUUUAACGGAUCUUUUGAAAGUUGGCAAGACAAAUUAAUUAUCUGAUGUAAAGUGGGAUAUUGUUCCAUUUUGACCUAUACAUAGCUCCUAAUGCUUCUAGCAUCUCCCCAAAGUUGGCACUAUUCUGACCUUUGACCUUUAAUCCAAAUAAAUGCAUUCAACAUUUCAAUGAUUUGAAAUCCUCAACAUUUCAUGAUGAGAAUUAUCUUGCCUCAUAUCCAAACAAGCUUUACUUAACACAUCUGUUGAUGUCAUAGAUCAAGAAAUUCAAUAAUUGUGUCUAGUUUUGACAAAAUUGGUUUCAAAUGAACUCAUAUUCAGGUAUAAUUGUGUGUGUGAUGUGAUUAAUGUUAGAACUUAAAGAAUGCUACAAAAAAAGACACAAGUGCAAAUUAUAGCAUAUUAUUCAGCCCUAACUUGAACAGUAUGAUUUUCAGUUAAAUUUGUCUUUAUUUCGGUUUGUUAAUUUUGUUUUAUUCAUCAUUAUGAUUGUUUUUUCUUGUUUUAAAUACUUUUUAUAAUGGAAUCAGAUGUGGUACUACUACUGUUUAUUUCUACUAUCCAUGUAUACACCAAUUUGAUCUUGUGGCAGGUACAUGUUCCUUUCUAUAGCCAACUCCAUUCAUGUAUACAUCACGAAUGACGACCCUAUUCUAAACACUAUCCUAGUGCUGAUAAGGUCUGAUGUAAAACAGAUGUGUCACAGAAUUUUGAUUUUGGUUUACAGAAAGAUGAACAUGUAGCUGCUUUCGACGUCAAUAGUUUUGUUGUGAUUAGGACAAUGUAGAUGUAUGAGGAUUAUAUUUUAUGAAUGACAAAUAAUAUAUCAAUGACUGUACUUUACACUGAAGAAAGAGA
This 2157-nucleotide long non-coding RNA is filed under the name Strongylocentrotus purpuratus (purple sea urchin). RNAcentral's name for it is "uncharacterized LOC115921663". The record is from RNAcentral. Lineage: Eukaryota; Metazoa; Echinodermata; Echinoidea; Camarodonta; Strongylocentrotidae.